This is a long non-coding RNA of Triticum dicoccoides, 589 nucleotides long. RefSeq lists it as uncharacterized. The record is from RefSeq and is a predicted model, not a curated record. The transcript is spliced from 3 exons. Lineage: Eukaryota; Viridiplantae; Streptophyta; Magnoliopsida; Poales; Poaceae.
ACCCCAUGCAUUCAGUUUCAGAACUUGAAACUAAUUAACCUGUGGAAACUAACCUGACUAGUAGCUUCUCUGGCUUCCAGUUUACAACUUCUAGGAUAUCAAUCAUUCAUUCUCAAGUUGCUGCUGGCAGCUACAAGUUGCCUUUUUCUGGAAUUUUCAUGUUCUUUUUUUGUGUGUAUAUGCCUUCCUCUUCGAUUUCGAGCUUGUGAUUGAGGUCAAUUGAUGGUGGUGGUUGUGCGAUGCAGAUGUUCGGGAUGGUGGAGAAGGAGAUGGAGUACCGGGUCGAGCUUUUCAACCGGCAAAUUUGGGGCUGAGGAAAGAAGACGAGGAGCAACUUCUCUCUGGUCUGGUCGUUGGAACUUCAGGACAAGGUGAAGGUUUUCAAAUGUUGAAGGAGGAGGACAAUAGGAACUUGUGUGAUGUCUUGUCAUCUAUUUUCUUUUCUUUGUUGUAGAAUAGUUCUGUUUGGCACUUACUGGUUGGAUGUAAAGAUAUGUACUGCUAGAAUGAAUGCAUGUAAAGAUAUUUUGGGCUCCUAUAAUAUUUCAUGUUGCUUUGAAAAUGUAUCGGAACUGGGCUAGGCCCAAGA